GUGUAGGUUGCUUAGACAUCAGAUAAUUGGUCAAUUGGGAAGGUUUAGUAUGUAAACUUUUUUUUUCAUCUUUAUAUUUCUGUCAACAAUUUCUUUUCAAGACAGAAAAGAAGGUCACAGCAGUACUAGAAACCCAGGACAGGGAGAUGGAAGUGAUGCAUAAGAAACAUCAGUUUUCAUAAUUUCAGGAGCUGGCAGUGGAAGUCUUGAGGGCAAGAGAAGCUGAUGUUUGAAGGAAAACGAUUACUUAUUGCAACCACAUGGAAAGAAUACCUCCCCGAACAACACCACCGGAUCUUUACAUUUAAACAAAUGUAAAACCCCCCAGGGGCAGGGACUGGUGAACCAGUGGAUCAGACAGCCCCUCAUGGACAAGAACUGCAUUGAGGAGAGAUCAGUUCUGCUCCGGGCUUUACUCACCUUCACCCUCCGCAGUCACAGAGCCACAUUUCACACAGUGGGGAACAUGGGGGUGUAUGGACUGGGGAAGAGUUCACUGAAUCAAUGGAUUCAUGAUAAUAAAAAACUGGAAUGAUGCAGCACGUUCCUGUAUCUGAUGACUCAGAGAGAUGAAAGUACAGUCACGUUUUCAUUUGAUCCAGCAGUGAAGCACCCACGUUAUGAUCAGUACGAUUCUAUUAACCCAUUUCUAUUAUUGUUCAAGUAGUGCCCAAUAUAGCAGCUGUCCCCAACCGCAGGUCCAGCACACCAAUAUGACAUGAACCUUCACUGUGGUAGCCACCACUUACUCUACGCAUUACAUCGUUGACUGAAGAGUUCAUGAAUUUUGCACGUGCCUAUGUAAACUAUGUCUGUUCAGUUGAAGAUUGUUUUUCAUGUUUGUUUCCUAUCCUCAUGGUUUACUACAUAGAAAAUGGUUGUUAUUGAAUACACCUUGCUUGUGAUCUCUUGGUUAAUUCCAUUCACACCAGUGAUUGCAUGUUUGAAGCCUGGAGGCUCUGUGGCUGUAAAUUUAAAUCUUCUUUAUAUGCUAGUAUCACAAUUUUCAGUUGCUCAAAGGUGUCUUCACAGUAGUGAGACAGUUCUAUUCGUCCAAUUUCAAAUAUAAAAUGUGGGGUUUUUUUUUGGUGAGGUUGCUGUCUUUUGAAGACAAAACCCUCCUUGUUAUUGUUCUUGGUGUUUGUGUGCAGUUGGCAGAGGUUCAGUCUGCAAGCCAAUCACAGCCCAACACUAAGAUGGUACUUGACAAGUUUGGUGAGAUUUAGUUUUGCUUACAAUACAUUAAGGAUGGAAAUAAGACUCCCAUUGCAUAGCACUUUGAGCCAUUGACUUUAAUUACACACCUGAGCUUGAUGCCUAUACAUUGUGAAACUGUUACACAACACAAGACUGAAAUCAGAUUUUAAUAAAAUCAAUACAUAUAUAGGAUAUCCUGAUAUGUGUUGCAGAGUGUGGCCUUGGUAAACUCUGUUUAUGAAUAUGUUACACAUGCAUAUAUACUUUUGCAUAUCCCCUCAUUGUAUUGCACACUGUAGAAAGUAGUUGGAAUUGAAUUUAUUUUCCCACUGAUUAAGUGUACCCUGUGGUUUUAUGCAGUGCCAGGUUUUGAGUCAAUGAAAGUACACCUGGUGUCUCUGGCAUGAUUGUGUAUGAGAAUUGAGAGAUUGCUGUGUUGCAGAGCACAAAUAGGCUUUGCUUCUGAGGGUAGUUGUGCUGUUGAUCAGCCCGAUGCGUACCAUCUCCUCCAGGCACUGUCCUACAGCAGCAGUCUUACACAUCCUAGACAUAGCUUCAGUUAAUCAAGACACAACUUUGGUUUAAGACAACAGUGGUGACUCAUGAACGGUGCAGAGUGAGAUUAAUGCAGAGUGUGUGUUGGAAUGCAGCAGAAACUGCAUUCGUUACAAGGAGAAAGGCCACUCCCUCUACACUGGACAACCAACAUUUGUUUUGUUAUAUAAUUUAUUUUGUUAAAUAACAGGGAUCAAAAUAUUCACCUUUGCAUUUAUAUCAACACGCUAACAAAAUUAUAAUAUGGUAGCGUUGUAGGUGAUGUUUAAUAGAGAACCAGACGAGGCUGUUUGGUCCUUGAACACGUCUCUGGUUUAUUUAAAUCAGAUCCGUACACAUAACUUAACAACAGGAAGAGUCACCAUAUUCAGCCUCCCUCCCGCUCCCCCAGACUUAACUAAACAGUCCCUCCAUCUCUCCACAGGCUUGGCAAAUCGAAUAUCGCUGAACCAAUACCCCAAACAUUUCACAUAACAAUUCUUACAUUUACUCCCCACAUUUCCCAUAGCAAUUAUUACAGUAUUAUUGGAGGCCAGAAAAUUAUCUGUUUUAUUAGAAAUAUUUUUAUUUUCGAGGUUGCGUGUAAUGUGUGUGUGUGUGCACACGCAAUGUUAUAAACCUAUGGUGGACGGUGCUGCGCUUGUUGGCUCGUAGUUGUUGUCAUAUGGGAUUUACAGUUUACUGGGAGAGCCUUCGGUGCAUUUGAAAUGUAAAGGAAGAAAUCCAUACCCACGGCUUCAGAUAGUGUGUUGUUGAGCUAUAUAUACAAUACUAGCUGGUAAUACCAGGACAUGUGUUUCUGUGCUGAAAUCAGCUCUGGUAUGCUGAUUGAAUAGAAUAAAAUGAAAUGUCCAAUAAUUACCUGCAUCUUGUCCCUAUUGUACCACCUAUUUUAACUCGAAAGCACAAAGCAGCAAAGAUGCUGGAGCGACUCACCUGGGCGUAGUUUGUUUACAUUGUACUAGAGCAGAUUAUUUGUGUGCAUGCAAAACCAAUGGGAUUUAAACAAAUCUACCAUCCCUGAUAGUUGUCCUUAUAGUGAUCUCUCUAAAUUGAACAGCGUUGCUUAUUUAAACUCUACUUGGCGAGAAAUUGAAACAACCUGUAAUUUCUUAGUUUUGCGGUGUUGCCUGUAGUUUUAAUUAACAACAAACCAUAAUGCUAGCUAGUAAUCGCUUAUGAUUCAUACAGCAUUGGUUGGCAACAAGUUAUAAUUAUUCUGCUAGUUGCUGGCUUAAAUACAACUUGGAGGAAACGUGAGUGUUUUCAACAGGUUUGUUUUAAAGCUUCCAGGAGUUGUGGUUUUCCAGUCAAAGAUGAUCUCUGUGAAUGUGCUUUGACCUGUUUACUGGACAGCACUGGUAUUUUUUAAAAGUUGUUCAUUCGAAAAGGGAAAGCAGAUUGAGAAAUGUCUGUGCCUCCUGACUCCCGCAUUGCACUCAAGACACACUGCACCUCUGCUGAACAGCGCUUUUCUUUGAAAAUGGGGUUCUCUUUUAACUUCUUUCUCCGGGUUAGUCUUUAUUUUUAGGCUGGAAGUUGCCCAGCAGUCUUUUCCUCUGGAAAAGUUAGAAUCUUAGUUGGUGAGAUUCACAUGGAGGGCAGGUGACAGAUAGGAAGCUGGGUACAAUGAGUGAGUCCUUGACACCAGUUAAAAACAUUUCUGUGAUUAGUUAUGCCAUUCAAUUUAUCUUUCAACCUGGUAAAUUAAUCCACAGUAACCAAUACCUUCAAAUGAAAUAUUUUUAUUAAAAACAAACAAACAAACAAAAAAAAAAAACAGCAACAAUUGCCUUUUAUUAUCCACACCAAAUGCUGCAGUAGUACUGAUAUACUGUACGAGGGAUGCUAAUAAGACUCCUGUUGCAGAGCAGUUUCACCCAUUCCAGGUUUUACUACAAGCUUGAUUAGCCACAGUGUCUAUUAACCAGGGUGUGGUUCUGAUUAACAUUGGAGCAGAGAACCUGAAAUAACACUGGGUGUGUGGAUGAUGAUGAUGAUGAUGGGAGGGGGAUGAUAUAUUUCCCUACCUAUCUGAUUUCUGUGAUGGCUUGUGGCUAUUCAAAAUUGUUGUUGUUCUUCAACCGAGGCUAAUGAGUCAUUGAAGGUAGGCUUGCAUUGGUUCUCUGAGAGCACAUCGGAAUGCCCUGAGGCUGUUAGCACCAUGGCAACAGCAGAGUAGACUUUCCAACUGAAACCUGUUGACACUUGUUUUUAUACCCCAGCUUUCUCCCUUUGAAUUCUGGGUAGGGCGGUUUCUGUUUGGGUUUUCCACAUGGGACCGGCCUGACAUGGAGUAAGCUUUCUGGGAAGAACUCUUCAUGAACAAAGACAAACAGAAGUCAGAACUGACUGUCCAUCUGGCUAUCUCCUUUUAUAGGAAAGAAACAGGGCAAUGUUGAAUUUUGGAGCCGUCUAUUAAUGCUAAACCUGGUGGAGUCCUUUGUGGAAGACUCAGAGCUGCUGCAAAACUUCCAGGAGAACCUUCUGCGCCGCUUCCCUGACCUCUACCGGCUGGCCAAGAGGUUCCAGCGGGACUUCUACCGGCUCCACCAGGCCCCAAUCUGGUGCUGGCACUCGAGAGAUACGGCGUAUAGCAUAUUAAGUGAUGAACCCCAAUGCCACAGAACUGGGCAGAGCAUACAAAGUACUCCUAAAAUCCUGGCAAGAUCACGACCUGCAUUUAAAUGUGGAAUUGAAAAGGAAUGAACUUCCCACUGCCCCUUUUUUUCUGCAGUGCUACCUGAUUAUAUUAGGACUGUUUUAACUCAGUGCUUCAUCAAAAUGACACUGUACUGCUUUAUAAUGUGUGAGACUGCAAAGGCUAGCACUCUGUCUUCUGCAAAUAAAGACAGUACAAUAUCUGGAUGUGCCUUUCUGUCAACCUAAUUUUUUUUAUAGCUUGUGUUUGAACUUUAUAUUAUUACCAAGUAGCAUUGCUUCUAGAUGGUGAGUUAUUGCACAGGUCUGCAGUAUCCAGCCUGUUUUGAAUCUGAUGCAGACCUCUAAUAUAUAAGCCUUUUGAAAAGAUGAUAUAAAAUUGCAGUGCCAUGUACCCACAACAUUUACUCAUAAGUCUGCAGACUGUGCUGCAGUUUUCAUUUGAUGCAAAGUGCACUUACAGCAGGAAUUCCUUGCCUUGUUUUUUAAUGAUGAAAAUAUCACUUUUUCAGCCUACUGAGGACUGGAGUAUUGCAGAUGUUCUCUUGUUCUAUUUAUAUGUAUUUUCCUGCAGUCAUCCAUAGGAAUAUUGUUUGUAUUCUGACAUAUACUGUAUAAUAUCCUCAUCCGUCAUGAAUACCUUUUUAACUGUUUGCCCUUUGCUAUUUAUUUUAAAUAUAUACUUGCUGUAUAAACAGAAUAUUUAAUUGUUUCUACCGUUUUUUAUUCGCCUUUUUAUUCAGCAUCCUCUGUCUCCAAUUAACCUAGAAUCCCUCCCGGUCUCAUCUUCUGUUUGUUUUUUAAGCUCCUGUUUCUAUGCUCUUUUUAGUCAUGGAUGCU
This is a long non-coding RNA of Polyodon spathula (Mississippi paddlefish), 5253 nucleotides long. RefSeq lists it as uncharacterized. The record is from RefSeq and is a predicted model, not a curated record. Lineage: Eukaryota; Metazoa; Chordata; Actinopteri; Acipenseriformes; Polyodontidae. The transcript has 5 exons.